Molecule: ribosomal RNA, 327 nt
Filed under: uncultured eukaryote
Lineage: Eukaryota
Description: partial 18S ribosomal RNA
Rfam family: Eukaryotic small subunit ribosomal RNA
Source: RNAcentral
CCCUUAGAUGUUCUGGGCCGCACACGCGCUACACUGAAGGAGGCAGCGUGUACUCCUGGAUCGAAAGAUUUGGGUAACCCGCGAAUCUCCUUCGUGCUAGGGAUUGAGGUUUGCAAUUAUCCUUCAUGAACGAGGAAUUCCCAGUAAGUGCAAGUCAUAAGCUUGCGCUGACUACGUACCUGCCCUUUGUACACACCGCCCGUCGCUACUACCGAUUGAAUGAUUUAGUGAGGACUUCGGACUGGGACCGAUGCGGCUUUCGGGCUGCGUCGGUAUUCUGGAAAGAUGUCCAAACUGUAUCAUUUAGAGGAAGUAAAANUCGUANCA